GCUGCAACUGUUUAUUAAAAACACAGCACUGUGCAAAAUCGUAAGAUGACGUAUACGGUGUGACGCCUGCCCGGUGCCGGAAGGUUAAUUGAUGGGGUUAGACUUCGGUCGAAGCUCUUGAUCGAAGCCCCGGUAAACGGCGGCCGUAACUAUAACGGUCCUAAGGUAGCGAAAUUCCUUGUCGGGUAAGUUCCGACCUGCACGAAUGGCGUAAUGAUGGCCACGCUGUCUCCACCCGAGACUCAGUGAAAUUGAAAUCGCUGUGAAGAUGCAGUGUACCCGCGGCUAGACGGAAAGACCCCGUGAACCUUUACUACAGCUUGGCACUGAACAUUGACCCUACAUGUGUAGGAUAGGUGGGAGGCUUUGAAGCACGUACGCCAGUAUGUGUGGAGCCGUCCUUGAAAUACCACCCUUGUAGUGUUGAUGUUCUAACGUCGACCCCUUAUCGGGGUUGCGGACAGUGCCUGGUGGGUAGUUUGACUGGGGCGGUCUCCUCCCAAAGAGUAACGGAGGAGCACGAAGGUGGGCUAAUCACGGUUGGACAUCGUGAGGUUAGUGCAAUGGCAUAAGCCCGCUUGACUGCGAGAAUGACAAUUCGAGCAGGUGCGAAAGCAGGUCAUAGUGAUCCGGUGGUUCUGAAUGGAAGGGCCAUCGCUCAACGGAUAAAAGGUACUCCGGGGAUAACAGGCUGAUACCGCCCAAGAGUUCAUAUCGACGGCGGUGUUUGGCACCUCGAUGUCGGCUCAUCACAUCCUGGGGCUGAAGUCGGUCCCAAGGGUAUGGCUGUUCGCCAUUUAAAGUGGUACGCGAGCUGGGUUUAGAACGUCGUGAGACAGUUCGGUCCCUAUCUGCCGUGGGCGUUGGAAGAUUGAAGGGGGCUGCUCCUAGUACGAGAGGACCGGAGUGGACGAACCUCUGGUGUUCGGGUUGUGUCGCCAGACGCAUUGCCCGGUAGCUAAGUUCGGAAUCGAUAACCGCUGAAAGCAUCUAAGCGGGAAGCGAGCCCUGAGAUGAGUCUUCCCUGAUACUUUAAGUAUCCUAAAGGGUUGUCGGAGACUACGACGUUGAUAGGUCAGGUGUGUAAGUGCUGUGAGGCAUUGAGCUAACUGAUACUAAUUGCCCGUGAGGCUUAACCAUACAACAC
Molecule: ribosomal RNA, 1147 nt
Filed under: Vibrio parahaemolyticus
Lineage: Bacteria; Pseudomonadati; Pseudomonadota; Gammaproteobacteria; Vibrionales; Vibrionaceae
Description: partial 23S ribosomal RNA
Rfam family: Bacterial large subunit ribosomal RNA
Source: RNAcentral